GUCAGGUUAGGUUAAGUUAACCCUAACCCUGCAAACACGUAGUGACUGUUUGUGGACACUGAACACAGAGUCUCUGUCAUCAGCAGCUGUGGAGGAACCCUCUCUGAGCUCUGGGAGGCUACAUGGCUGCUAGCACCCGUUAGUCACUAUUGUGAACCACCGUUACAUCAUCGACACAGAGCUCACAAACAAAAACACUCCACCGUCUGCUUUCCUUUCAGCUGUCGCAAAACCUCAGAGAAAUGGGUUAAAUGCCUUUUUUUGUCAAAAGUGUAGGCUUUGUGUGUGUGUGUGUGUGCGUGUGUGCAUGUGUGUGUGUGUGCAUGAACGCUCAGUCCCAUUUCACUCUGUGCUCCUACACUUAACCCUCACGUGAAGGUGUCACGUGUCCUGAUUCCUUUAACUAAAUCCAAGGAAACUAAUGUUACACUGGUUAGCAUGUUAGCACUGUAGCUACUUAGCUCAGUGUUUGCAGGAGUUGUUGUGGAGGAAAUAACUACAUACAUUUGAGGUUUUACAGCCUUUAUUAAGGCAACGCUUUACUUACAGCAUGCAGGUUACAGAGCCACAGUCACAAUCAAGUCACGGCAGCCUCUCUCUCUCUCUCUCUCUCUCUCUCUCUCUCUCUCUCUCCAAAAGUUUCAGCUCACAUUAGUAUGUGACAAACUGUGUGUGUGUGUGUGUGUGUGUGUGUGAGACAUGGUGUGUUAUAUAUGGCAAAAAAGUGUCUGUUUACACGAGGACGCGUCACAUAGUGUAGGGCUACAUUUGAACCAUUACUCCAUGUAACUCAGUGUAAAUCAAGGGAAAGGACACACAGAGAAAUGGGAUUGAGCCGAUUGCUUAAAUGUGAUCUCAAUGGUGUUGGUUGAUUAUUUGUCAGACGAGCUGAUCCUUCACUCCUCAGAGCUCAGAGUUCCACUCAGCAGCUGAAUAACAAACAAACCAGAGCUGAAAGACAAAUGAACUAGUAUUCAAUUAGUAUUGAAGAGAAGUGAAAGCGUGAAAUGCUCGGCCUUCCAAAGCCAGACUUUCUUUUUUUCCAUUGUUUUGAUGUUAUUUUUUUUUCUUGGCCAAACAUGGAUAAAAGCAGCUUUAAAUGUU
Solea solea (common sole) is the source of this 1104-nucleotide long non-coding RNA. RefSeq lists it as uncharacterized. The record is from RefSeq and is a predicted model, not a curated record. The transcript has 2 exons. NCBI's taxonomy places the organism in Eukaryota, Metazoa, Chordata, Actinopteri, Pleuronectiformes, Soleidae.